This 228-nucleotide ribosomal RNA is filed under the name uncultured bacterium. RNAcentral's name for it is "partial 16S ribosomal RNA". It matches the Rfam family "Bacterial small subunit ribosomal RNA", at positions 122 to 334 of the family's 1533-position model. The record is from RNAcentral.
UAAUCUGCCCAGAAGACUGGAAUAACCUGCCGAAAGGCAAGCUAAUACCGGAUAAGCCUACAGGUUCCUCGGAACCCGAAGGAAAAGGUGGCCUCUGUAUACAAGCUAUCACUUCUGGAUGAGCCCGCGGCCCAUCAGCUAGUUGGCGGGGUAACGGCCCACCAAGGCUACGACGGGUAGCUGGUCUGAGAGGACGAUCAGCCACACUGGAACUGAGACACGGUCCAG